This 310-nucleotide ribosomal RNA is filed under the name uncultured soil bacterium. Its description in RNAcentral is "bacterial SSU rRNA". It matches the Rfam family "Bacterial small subunit ribosomal RNA", at positions 26 to 363 of the family's 1533-position model. The record is from RNAcentral.
AGAACGAACGCUGGCGGCAUGCCUAACACAUGCAAGUCGAACGAGACCUUCGGGUCUAGUGGCGCACGGGUGCGUAACGCGUGGGAAUCUGCCCUUGGGUUCGGAAUAACAGUUGGAAACGACUGCUAAUACCGGAUGAUGACGUAAGUCCAAAGAUUUAUCGCCCAGGGAUGAGCCCGCGUAGGAUUAGCUAGUCGGUGAGGUAAAGGCUCACCAAGGCGACGAUCCUUAGCUGGUCUGAGAGGAUGAUCAGCCACACUGGGACUGAGACACGGCCCAGACUCCGUACGGGAGGCAGCAGUGGGGAAUA